RNAcentral lists this ribosomal RNA (253 nucleotides) under uncultured bacterium. RNAcentral's name for it is "partial 16S ribosomal RNA". It matches the Rfam family "Bacterial small subunit ribosomal RNA", at positions 524 to 776 of the family's 1533-position model. The record is from RNAcentral.
UACGGAGGGGGCUAGCGUUGUUCGGAAUUACUGGGCGUAAAGCGCACGUAGGCGGCUUUGUAAGUUAGAGGUGAAAGCCCGGGGCUCAACUCCGGAAUUGCCUUUAAGACUGCAUCGCUAGAAUUGUGGAGAGGUAAGUGGAAUUCCGAGUGUAGAGGUGAAAUUCGUAGAUAUUCGGAAGAACACCAGUGGCGAAGGCGGCUCACUGGCCCGAUUCUGACGCUGAGGCGCGAAAGCGUGGGGAGCAAACAGG